RNAcentral lists this ribosomal RNA (253 nucleotides) under uncultured bacterium. RNAcentral's name for it is "partial 16S ribosomal RNA". It matches the Rfam family "Bacterial small subunit ribosomal RNA", at positions 524 to 776 of the family's 1533-position model. The record is from RNAcentral.
UACGAACCGUCCAAACGUUAUUCGGAAUCACUGGGCUUAAAGGGUGCGUAGGCGGCGCGGAAAGUUGGGUGUGAAAUCCCUCGGCUUAACCGGGGAACUGCGUCUGAUACUGGAUGGCUUGAGUUUGGGAGAGGGAUGCGGAAUUCCAGGUGUAGCGGUGAAAUGCGUAGAUAUCUGGAGGAACACCGGUGGCGAAGGCGGCAUCCUGGACCAAUACUGACACUGAAAAGCGAAAGCCAGGGGAGCAAACGGG